ACGAACGCUGGCGGCGUGCUUAACACAUGCAAGUCGAACGGAAAGGCCCUGCUUUUGUGGGGUUCUCGAGUGGCGAACGGGUGAGUAACACGUGAGUAACCUUCCCUUGACUUUGGGAUAACUUCAGGAAACUGGGGCUAAUACCGGAUAGGAGCUCCUGCUGCAUGGUGGGGGUUGGAAAGUUUCGGCGGUUGGGGAUGGACUCGCGGCUUAUCAGCUUGUUGGUGGGGUAGUGGCUUACCAAGGCUUUGACGGGUAGCCGGCCUGAGAGGGUGACCGGCCACAUUGGGACUGAGAUACGGCCCAGACUCCUACGGGAGGCAGCAGUGGGGAAUAUUGCACAAUGGGCGGAAGCCUGAUGCAGCAACGCCGCGUGCGGGAUGACGGCCUUCGGGUUGUAAACCGCUUUCGCCUGUGACGAAGCGUGAGUGACGGUAAUGGGUAAAGAAGCACCGGCUAACUACGUG
This 467-nucleotide ribosomal RNA is filed under the name uncultured bacterium. RNAcentral's name for it is "partial 16S ribosomal RNA". It matches the Rfam family "Bacterial small subunit ribosomal RNA", at positions 29 to 507 of the family's 1533-position model. The record is from RNAcentral.